UAGGAUAGGUGGGAGGCUUAGAAGUGUGGACGCCAGUCUGCAUGGAGCCGACCUUGAAAUACCACCCUUUAAUGUUUGAUGUUCUAACGUUGACCCGUGAUCCGGGUUGCGGACAGUGUCUGGUGGGUAGUUUGACUGGGGCGGUCUCCUCCUAAAGAGUAACGGAGGAGCACGAAGGUUGGCUAAUCCUGGUCGGACAUCAGGAGGUUAGUGCAAUGGCAUAAGCCAGCUUGACUGCGAGCGUGACGGCGCGAGCAGGUGCGAAAGCAGGUCAUAGUGAUCCGGUGGUUCUGAAUGGAAGGGCCAUCGCUCAACGGAUAAAAGGUACUCCGGGGAUAACAGGCUGAUACCGCCCAAGAGUUCAUAUCGACGGCGGUGUUUGGCACCUCGAUGUCGGCUCAUCACAUCCUGGGGCUGAAGUAGGUCCCAAGGGUAUGGCUGUUCGCCAUUUAAAGUGGUACGCGAGCUGGGUUUAGAACGUCGUGAGACAGUUCGGUCCCUAUCUGCCGUGGGCGCUGGAGAACUGAGGGGGGCUGCUCCUAGUACGAGAGGACCGGAGUGGACGCAUCACUGGUGUUCGGGUUGUCAUGCCAAUGGCACUGCCCGGUAGCUAAAUGCGGAAGAGAUAAGUGCUGAAAGCAUCUAAGCACGAAACUUGCCCCGAGAUGAGUUCUCCCUGACUCCCUGAGAGUCCUGAAGGAACGUUGAAGACGACGACGUUGAUAGGCCGGGUGUGUAAGCGCAGCGAUGCGUUGAGCU
RNAcentral lists this ribosomal RNA (759 nucleotides) under Escherichia coli. RNAcentral describes it as "partial 23S ribosomal RNA". It matches the Rfam family "Bacterial large subunit ribosomal RNA", at positions 2139 to 2892 of the family's 2925-position model. Lineage: Bacteria; Pseudomonadati; Pseudomonadota; Gammaproteobacteria; Enterobacterales; Enterobacteriaceae. The record is from RNAcentral.